Molecule: ribosomal RNA, 468 nt
Filed under: uncultured bacterium
Lineage: Bacteria
Description: partial 16S ribosomal RNA
Rfam family: Bacterial small subunit ribosomal RNA
Source: RNAcentral
GACGAACGCUGGCGGCGUGCCUAACACAUGCAAGUCGAACGGAAAGGCCCUGCUUUUGUGGGGUGCUCGAGUGGCGAACGGGUGAGUAACACGUGAGUAACCUGCCCUUGACUUUGGGAUAACUUCAGGAAACUGGGGCUAAUACCGGAUAGGAGCUCCUGCUGCAUGGUGGGGGUUGGAAAGUUUCGGCGGUUGGGGAUGGACUCGCGGCUUAUCAACUUGUUGGUGGGGUAGUGGCUUACCAAGGCUUUGACGGGUAGCCGGCCUGAGAGGGUGACCGGCCACAUUGGGACUGAGAUACGGCCCAGACUCCUACGGGAGGCAGCAGUGGGGAAUAUUGCACAAUGGGCGGAAGCCUGAUGCAGCAACGCCGCGUGCGGGAUGACGGCCUUCGGGUUGUAAACCGCUUUCGCCUGUGACGAAGCGUGAGUGACGGUAAUGGGUAAAGAAGCACCGGCUAACUACGUG